RNAcentral lists this long non-coding RNA (475 nucleotides) under Marmota monax (woodchuck). Lineage: Eukaryota; Metazoa; Chordata; Mammalia; Rodentia; Sciuridae. The record is from RNAcentral.
UCACUGCACAGGUGGCUUUCUACAGGGGAUUCUUGAGGGCACCUGGGCUGUCACCUAGGAUGAUAUCUUCUCAUCCUUGCCUGGGAAGGAGGAUCUGGUCUGAUCUCACUGACUUCUAUGUUACUUUCUCCUUCCAGGGUCUUGGGCACAGUUUGAAUUGACUCAGCCUCACUCUGUGUCUGCAUCUCCAGGGAAGACAGUCACCAUCUCCUGUACACGCAGCAGUGAUGAUAUUGGGAGUUACUAUGUGUACUGGUACCAACAGCAUCAGGGCAGUGCUCCUAGCACUGUGAUCUAUGAAGAUGAUAAAAGACCCUCUGGGGUCCCUGAUCGGUUCUCAGGAUCCAUUGACAGUUCCUCCAACACAGCCUCCCUGUCUAUCUCUGAUCUGCAGAUUGAGGAUGAGGCUGACUACUAUUGUCAGUCUUACGAUAGCAGCUAUAAUCCCACAGUGCUCCAGACACAUGGGGAAGUG